RNAcentral lists this ribosomal RNA (1006 nucleotides) under Beauveria loeiensis. RNAcentral's name for it is "SSU rRNA". It matches the Rfam family "Eukaryotic small subunit ribosomal RNA", at positions 87 to 1104 of the family's 1831-position model. Lineage: Eukaryota; Fungi; Ascomycota; Sordariomycetes; Hypocreales; Cordycipitaceae. The record is from RNAcentral.
CUGCGAAUGGCUCAUUAUAUAAGUUAUCGUUUAUUUGAUAGUACCUUACUACUUGGAUAACCGUGGUAAUUCUAGAGCUAAUACAUGCUGAAAAUCCCGACUUUGGAAGGGAUGUAUUUAUUAGAUUCAAAACCAAUGCCCCCUGGGCUCCUUGGUGAUUCAUGAUAACUUUUCGAAUCGCACGGCCUUGCGCCGGCGAUGGUUCAUUCAAAUUUCUUCCCUAUCAACUUUCGAUGUUUGGGUAUUGGCCAAACAUGGUCGCAACGGGUAACGGAGGGUUAGGGCUCGACCCCGGAGAAGGAGCCUGAGAAACGGCUACUACAUCCAAGGAAGGCAGCAGGCGCGCAAAUUACCCAAUCCCGAUUCGGGGAGGUAGUGACAAUAAAUACUGAUACAGGGCUCUUUUGGGUCUUGUAAUUGGAAUGAGUACAAUUUAAAUCCCUUAACGAGGAACAAUUGGAGGGCAAGUCUGGUGCCAGCAGCCGCGGUAAUUCCAGCUCCAAUAGCGUAUAUUAAAGUUGUUGUGGUUAAAAAGCUCGUAGUUGAACCUUGGGCCUGGCUGGCCGGUCCGCCUCACCGCGUGUACUGGUCCGGCCGGGCCUUUCCCUCUGUGGAACCUCAUGCCCUUCACUGGGUGUGGCGGGGAAACAGGACGUUUACUUUGAAAAAAUUAGAGUGCUCCAGGCAGGCCUAUGCUCGAAUACAUUAGCAUGGAAUAAUGAAAUAGGACGUGUGGUUCUAUUUUGUUGGUUUCUAGGACCGCCGUAAUGAUUAAUAGGGACAGUCGGGGGCAUCAGUAUUCAAUUGUCAGAGGUGAAAUUCUUAGAUUUAUUGAAGACUAACUACUGCGAAAGCAUUUGCCAAGGAUGUUUUCAUUAAUCAGGAACGAAAGUUAGGGGAUCGAAGACGAUCAGAUACCGUCGUAGUCUUAACCAUAAACUAUGCCGACUAGGGAUCGGACGAUGUUAUUUUUUGACGCGUUCGGCACCUUACGAGAAAUCAAAGU